Phascolarctos cinereus (koala) is the source of this 1033-nucleotide non-coding RNA. Lineage: Eukaryota; Metazoa; Chordata; Mammalia; Diprotodontia; Phascolarctidae. The record is from RefSeq and is a predicted model, not a curated record.
GAACUCUGCCCUCUUUCUGGCACCUUCGGUCGUCCUUUCCCCUUGUUCAGUCAGAUGGUGUCAGAAGCAGCCUUCCUCCCGCGUGCCUCAGUUUCUGAGAUUCCGUGUCACCAGAACCCCAUGUCUGUCAGGCUGUCAACAUUCCCAAAGAAAACACAGCGGCACCGAAGCCUUUGAUUGAUCCCAUAUGUCUGGCGUGGCGCUGCAGAGGCAUUCACUGGAGAUGAAUCCAGAUACCAGGAGUGCCAAGAGUUCUAGUCUACUUUGAUUGGAGUUGUUCAUUGGGAGCUCCCUAUACUGAUGUAAUCUCAAGACUGCGCAACACACACCCAUGUUUAUACGAAGUCCAGGACACAACACCAAAGCAAUUGGAUUUUGCUACUUACAGAUAUGCGCAAUAAAGACAGAAGUGGAGUGAAAAAUAUUGACCUUGCCUCUUUGGGUUACCUUUUGUUCUGACUCAAAUUCGUUUGCCUUCUUAGGGAGAGAGGAUAUUGGGAAUGUGUAAUUUUAAGUGGGAUAAUCUUCUGAAAUCGAGGGCAACAAUCUAUGCUCAGAAAUAGAGGUAAAAAAGAAAAGGCUUAACCCAAGCCUCUGGGGAUAGUCUGACUGGCUUUGAAUUAUAGCCUCUAGCUAUGACUAAAAAGUUGCCAGCAUAUCUUCAUCAGGUAGAGGUUCUCACCACUAUAAUUUAGCAGAAUGCAAUUGUUAUGACCAGCAAGUGUCUCUGAUUAUAUGAUGCUCAGAAUCUGGUAGCAAGGAGUCUCCUUUAGAGACUAUAGAUGCCCAGUAGUUAUAAUGAAACCAGUAUGUACCAGAAGAGCAAUAUGUCCAGUGGAAAUGCCAAAUCCAGUAGGAAGCAAAGCCUACAGAAAGCAGCACAAAGAUAUCACCAAAACAAAUACAUGUACUGCACCUUUUCUACAAGUAUUUCCUGGUCAUACAUGUUCAUUUUAAUGUGCCGCAUCACGCAUAAUCCCUUUGCAUGUUCACUGUCCACAUAGGUAUAUAUAUGUCUGUGGUUUGAGUUGGA